GCCAGGUGUGGUGGUACACGCCUGUAAUCCUAGCUACUAGGAGGCUGAGGCAGGAGAAUCACUUGAACCCAGGUGGCAGAGGUUGCAGUGAGCCAAGAUCACACCACUGCACUUCAGCCUGGGCAACAGAGCAAGACUCCAUCUCAGGGAAAAAAAAAAAGAGACGGAGGGUCACUCUAUCGCCCAGGUUGGAGUGCGGUGGCACAAUUUCGGCUCACUGCAACCUCCGCCUCCCAGGUUCAAGCGAUCCUCCUGCCUCA
This 260-nucleotide small RNA is filed under the name Pan paniscus (pygmy chimpanzee). RNAcentral describes it as "Metazoan signal recognition particle RNA (ENSPPAG00000015700.1)". The record is from RNAcentral. Lineage: Eukaryota; Metazoa; Chordata; Mammalia; Primates; Hominidae.